GAACCAAAAAUAGUAACUCAUCAAGAAAACACUAUUUUUAUUAAUGUUGACCUAACACAAGAACAUUGUAAGAAAGAUUAAAAGAAAAAGAAGGAACUCGGCAAAUAUUAACCUCGCCUGUUUACCAAAAACAUCGCCUCUUGAAUUUUAUAAGAGGUCCAGCCUGCCCAGUGACUCUGUUCAACGGCCGCGGUAUCCUAACCGUGCGAAGGUAGCGUAAUCACUUGUUCUUUAAAUGUGGACUAGUAUGAAUGGCACUACGAGGGUUAUACUGUCUCCUUUCUCUAAUCAGUGAAACUAAUUUUCCCGUGAAGAAGCGGGAAUACACCUAUAAGACGAGAAGACCCUAUGGAGCUUUAAACAAUCCAGCAAUUACUUUUUAAAUUAUAAAUUUCAGAAUGUUCAUUUUUNUAAGUAAUGUGACUGCAAGUUUUCGGUUGGGGUGACCAUGGAGAAUAACACAACCUCCAUAUUGAAUGAAUUUUAUUCUAAGCUAAAAAUUACUUAUUAAAGCAUCAAUACACUGACAUCUAUUGACCCAAUAUAUUUGAUCAACGAACCAAGUUACCCUAGGGAUAACAGCGCAAUCCACUUCAAGAGCCCCUAUCGACAAGUGGGUUUACGACCUCGAUGUUGGAUCAGGGUAUCCCAGUGGCGCAGCCGCU
Molecule: ribosomal RNA, 665 nt
Filed under: Rhinella margaritifera (mitred toad)
Lineage: Eukaryota; Metazoa; Chordata; Amphibia; Anura; Bufonidae
Description: partial 16S ribosomal RNA
Rfam family: Bacterial large subunit ribosomal RNA
Source: RNAcentral